UUAAACCAAUAACACAUGAUUUUAAUACAGAUUUGAAAAUCAUAGAACCAAUAACACUAGAUUUAGUUCGGAUUUCCAAAUCCAUUAAAAUACAACAACAAAUAACCCCUACUUAAUAAUUCAACAAUGCCGUAUAACUCUAUCCGAUAAAAAACAUACGAAUUACUUUAUAAAUAAUUAAACCAGAGAUAACCAAUAGCAUGUGUUGACUAAAAACAAAAAAACCAUUAACCGAUAACAACCAAAGCAAUAUAAACCGAGUAUUUAACCGGAUCAAAUAAUAAUCAAGCUUUUUGCAGAAAAAAACUAAAACCGUAAAGUUUGAAGCCGAUUGCUUAUUUAAUUAGAGAAUCAGAUUCGGUAAAUAAUUAAUUAAAAAACUGAAAUACGUGUUGAACCCGAGUGAAUUCGUACAACAAUUACCAACCAAAUCAUUUUCUAUAGAUUAACUAUUAUCUAAUGAAAACUUGUUUGAAAUAACAGCAGCAAACGUAAUAAAUCAAUACGGCAACAUAACAAAUGCAUGAGCAAAUUAAUUCAAAUCAGAAACACAAGUGGAAAACAAUAAAAGAAUCAGAUUCUACGGAAAAUCUUACGAUACUAAAAAUCAAAUAUGCUCAACAAAGAGAGGGUCCAUGUCAUCAAUUAAUUCAAGCCAAUAAAAACGUUUUAUUCUGCCACGUCAUAACAACCUCAAGUCGAUAAGUAUGAAAAUCUGAUAACACCUUUGGGCUAAUAAUAAUUUUCAGUGGCCCACUUGAACCUCAUCUCAGAAAAACCUAAACUCUGAUAACAGCAAUAAUUAUCCAUCAAUUUUUCUUCUUCGUCGUUUGGAAUCACUGCAAUUCACAUUCACCUUGAAGUAGGCCAGAUUCUUCCGGAUCCGUGACAAAGCGUCGGUGACGAGCUCUGCCCAUGGGCGGCGUUGUGAUAAGCCGUCGCGGAUCGAGGUGGAUAGGCGUGAGAAGAAGGUACGGAAGGCGGGAGUGUUGAUUGGUGGCUGAGAUUGAACAGCUUGCUGAUUGGUGACUGGGAGCGGCGGUGGAGUGGACAUGGCGGUGGCGCGUGAGGUUAGGUACGGCUGAUUUGGGCGAGAGGUUUGGAUCUUAAGAUUGGAUCAGAUCCGAGCUCCGUGUUAGAUAUUUUGGGGCCUAAUACAUAAGGUUGCACCGGCCAAUACCUUCAAGUCACGGUUUCGACAUUUCCUCUUGCCCUUUUUUUGGAGAUCCUUAUGACAAAAAUAACACUAAAUCAAGUUUAUGUUCCCAAACUAUCA
This is a long non-coding RNA of Brassica napus (rape), 1276 nucleotides long. RefSeq lists it as uncharacterized. Lineage: Eukaryota; Viridiplantae; Streptophyta; Magnoliopsida; Brassicales; Brassicaceae. The record is from RefSeq and is a predicted model, not a curated record. The transcript is spliced from 2 exons.